GAGGGUAUAGCUCUGUGGUAAAGUGUGUGCUCAGCAUGCAGGAGGCCCUGGGUUCAAUCCCCAGUACCUCCA
Transfer RNA from Camelus ferus (Wild Bactrian camel), 72 nucleotides. It matches the Rfam family "tRNA". Rfam says of the family: Transfer RNA (tRNA) molecules are approximately 80 nucleotides in length. Lineage: Eukaryota; Metazoa; Chordata; Mammalia; Artiodactyla; Camelidae. The record is from Rfam.